UACAUUUGCAACUUCAAAUGAAAAAAUCAUUGAUGUACAUAAAAAUCAUUUAAAUAAUAUUGGCAUG
This 67-nucleotide non-coding RNA is filed under the name unclassified sequences. The record is from Rfam.